CCCAGUCGUUACUGCCAAACAUGUAAAGUUUACCAUUCCCUGUAACAACAGCAGUGUGUUCAUCUCCGCAUGAUAUGUGGACCGGCUUGUCAUUUUUGAACCAGAACUUGCUAGGAAUAUUUUCUGCAAAGUUGCUUUUUCCAAAAGUAAAAACAGCCCCCGAUUCGGGCACCGGCAGCUCUUCCUCCUCCGCGGGUUCGGCCAUAGCAACGCGCAGCCAGCGUUCGGCCCC
This 232-nucleotide long non-coding RNA is filed under the name Gallus gallus (chicken). Lineage: Eukaryota; Metazoa; Chordata; Aves; Galliformes; Phasianidae. The record is from RNAcentral.